RNAcentral lists this unclassified non-coding RNA (313 nucleotides) under plant metagenome. RNAcentral's name for it is "partial contains 5.8S ribosomal RNA, internal transcribed spacer 2, and large subunit ribosomal RNA". The stretch from base 1 to 105 matches the Rfam family "5.8S ribosomal RNA", at positions 50 to 154 of the family's 154-position model. The record is from RNAcentral.
GAAAUGCGAUACGUAGUGUGAAUUGCAGAAUUCAGUGAAUCAUCGAAUCUUUGAACGCACAUUGCGCCCUUUGGUAUUCCAAAGGGCAUGCCUGUUCGAGCGUCAUUUGUACCCUCAAGCUUUGCUUGGUGUUGGGCGUUUUUUGUCUUUGGCUCGCCCAAAGACUCGCCUUAAAACGAGUGGCAGCCGGCCUACUGCUUUCGCAGCGCAGCACAUUUUUGCGCUUGCAAUCAGCAAAAGAGGACGGCAAUCCAUCAAGACUCCUUCUCACGUUUGACCUCGGAUCAGGUAGGGAUACCCGCUGAACUUAAGC